CCUAAGGGGGCGGUGUUGCAAUCUACUGCAGAGAUAGCAUGCAGAGUUCUGUCCUACUGUCCAGGUCUUGAAUGACUGGGAGACACUCCCCGGCCAUGAACAUUGUUCCCAUAUCUGACGCCUCACCAGCUAUAGUAUGUUGACAAGGGCCAAAGGGGCCCCUAGUGCUGAGGCCUGGGGUUCCACAGGAUCCACAGGGACCGUACAGGAGGGUCCACAGGGCCGGCAGACAUCCAUCACCAAUCCGCCCAAAGCUACCAUGAUGGUCCAGACCAGAGCUCCAGAGGAGACCGUUCACUAUCAAACUCACCUCAUCAACGUGAAGGAAUCAAAUGUUUACAUGGGUGUUUAUUGAAUAAUGUUCUUAUAACUAGAUUUUUAAAAAUAGUUUCUUAUGUUUUUUUCUUAAUGGACAGCACUGGAAAACUAAUACCAAUGGUUAGAUUUGUUUGCUCAAAAAGGAAAACAGGGAUUAAAAAACAAACAUUUUCUACACUGACUAUAUUGCAGUUUUCCAGAUGAAAAAGGCAUCUCCUGAGAAGGUGUGGAAAGUUUUAAAAUGUAAGAUCAGCAGAGCAGCAUGAGGCACAAAAAGGGAAACUUAAUGUGAGGGCCAGGUCUAAGGAAUGUGGUUUAUUCAUGUAAACCAGAGGUUCUUCUAGCUUUUCCCAGAAGCUAGAGUUCCUCUCAGGACAAACUUUGCUCUCUCGCUCUCUGUGUGUGUAAAGGGCUUAAUUGACAUGGGAUAUGUAUGUUUACAUUGCCAAAGCAAGUGAAAUAGAUAAUAAACAAAAGUUAAAUAAUCAAUCAAAAAUUAACAGUAAACAUUACACUCACAAGUUUCAAAGGAAUAGACACAUUUGAAAUGUCUUAUGGCUAUGUACAGUGUUAGAACGAUGUGCAAAAUAGUUAAAGUAGAAAAGGGAAAAUAAAUAAACAAAUAUGGGUUGUAUUUACAAUGGUGUUUGUUCUUGUUCUCCCCUUUCUUGUGGCAACAGGUCACAAAUCUUGCUGCUGUGAUGGCACACUGUGGUAUUUCACCCAAUAGAUGGGAGUUUAUCAAAAUUGGAUUUGUUUUUGAAUUCUAUGUCUCUCUAAAGUUGUCAUACAUUAGGCAGGAGGUUAGGAAGUGCAGCUCAGUUUCCACCUCAUUUUGUGGGCAGUUUUCUCUUGAGAGCCAAGUCUCUCAAUAGCAAAGCCAUGCUCACUGAGUCUGUACAUAGUCAACGCUUUCCUUUAUUUUGGGUCAGUCACAGUGGUCAGGUAUUCUGCCACUGUGUACUCUCUGUUUAGGACCAAAUAACAUUCUAGUUUGCUCAGUUCCUUUCUUAAUUCUUAUUAAUGUAUCAAUAUUCUUAUCAAUGUAUCAUAUUUGUUUCUCAUGAUUUGGUUGGGUCUAAUUGUGCUGCUGUCCUGGGGCUCUGUGGGGUCUGUUUAUGUUUGUGAACAGAGCCCCUGGACCAGCUUGCUUAGGGGACUUUUCUCUAGGUUAACCUCUCUGUAGGUGAUGGCUUUGGUAUGGAAGGUUUGGGAAUCGCUUCCUUUUAGGUGGUUGUAUAAUUGAACACUUCCUUUUUGGAUUUGGAUAAUUAGCAGGUAUCGGCCUAAUUCUGCUCUGCAUGCAUUAUUUGGUGAUUUACAUUGUACACAGAUAAUGUUUUUGCAGAAUUCUGUUUGCAGUGUCAAUUUGGUC
Oncorhynchus tshawytscha (Chinook salmon) is the source of this 1693-nucleotide long non-coding RNA. Lineage: Eukaryota; Metazoa; Chordata; Actinopteri; Salmoniformes; Salmonidae. The record is from Ensembl.